CCUACGGGAGGCUGCAGUGAGGAAUAUUGGUCAAUGGGCGUAAGCCUGAACCAGCCAUCCCGCGUGAAGGAAGAAGGCGCUAUGCGUCGUAAACUUCUUUUCCAGAGGAAUAAAAUUUCGUACGUGUACGGAACUGAAGGUACUUUUGGAAUAAGCAUCGGCUAACUCCGUGCCAGCAGCCGCGGUAAUACGGAGGAUGCGAGCGUUAUCCGGUUUAAUUGGGGUUUAGGGGGGCGAAUACGGAUGAGUUGAAAACCUUCAGCUUAACUGGAGAACUGCCAUUGAUACUGUUAGUCUUGAGUACGGUCAAGGUAGGCGGAAUGUGUAAUGUAGCGGUGAAAUGCUUAGAUAUUACACAGAACACCGAUUGCGAAGGCAGCUUACUGGGCCAUUACUGACGCUGAUGCACGAAAGCGUGGGGAGCGAACAGGAUUAGAUACCCGAGUAGUC
This 450-nucleotide ribosomal RNA is filed under the name uncultured bacterium. Its description in RNAcentral is "partial 16S ribosomal RNA". It matches the Rfam family "Bacterial small subunit ribosomal RNA", at positions 338 to 795 of the family's 1533-position model. The record is from RNAcentral.